Molecule: long non-coding RNA, 1975 nt
Organism: Cygnus atratus (black swan)
Lineage: Eukaryota; Metazoa; Chordata; Aves; Anseriformes; Anatidae
Exons: 3
Source: RefSeq, a predicted model, not a curated record
CUGCCCCGAGCCCGCCCUGCUCCGCGCCGCCGAGAGGGCCGCCCAGUUCGCCGGGGACGACUUCGCCUACGGCGGGCCCGAGCUGGGCGGAGGCGGCGCCCUGGGGGUGCAGCUGGCCUGCGACGUGAAGCCAGGCAUGGUGCCAGGUGAAGUCUGGGAGGAACAGCAGUAUCAUUUUUCCCUUUAAGUUCUUCAGGUCAUCAAGAAUGGAUUAUACUUAUUAUGGCCAACGGCUGUCAUGGAUUUUUGCAUUCACCUCCUUCACGUGCCUCACUGGACCCUGACAUUCUCACCUGGCAGAGACAAGCAUCCUGUAUGUUGGAGGGAAAGCGGUAAACAGCACUGCCCACUAAACCACCUAAUACUGUGGAAGGCGCUGUCAGCAUGGAAGCACACAGUGAGCAAACCCAUGAUAACACGUGAGCUUCUGUGUCUGAGUUUCCAGAUGAGGACAACUGCACCCACAAAGGAUUUCCCUUCUUAUCUCACAGCCUGUGAGUGACACAGGUUGGCGGCAGCCCACACCCAAGACCACUCCAGCAAUCAUGCAAUUGGUGUGAAUGAGACCUGGGCUGAAGACUUACUUCUGUCCGGAUUGCACCAAGGGCCUGUAUGCAUGUUUUGCCCAUUCCAAACACUGGACCCAGUCCUUCACAAGGCACCAUUCUUUCCCAAGGGUGGAAGAAAAUCAUACUGGAUUCAUCAACAUCUAGCAGAAAUCCCAUGCACUUGGCAUCAGGAACAACAAAAUAAGCCAUAUCUACAGUGUUUGUUUUCCUUCAAGCUGGUGUACAGGCGAGCAUCUAGUAUUCUGCUGUGCCUCUAACAUUCUCUGCAUAUGCCUAAGACCUUUGAGACCUUCCUUUUGAACACAGAUGAGUGGACUUCCUGCAGUAGUGCAGAGAAUGCCUUCUUCAACCCCCAUUUGCAGCUGGAGUGCUGGGUCUUGGAAACGAGCAUGGUUCUGCAUAGCAAUUCCAGCAUGGCCUGCCUUCUAUUAAAAACAGAACAACGAAGUGUGGUAAUCACACCUCGAAGCAGGGGAAAUGCAGUUGCUGUUGUUUGUGGAGAGCUGCUACUCAAACAGCACGCAGUAAAUACGAUGGGGCAAAUCCAGGGGAAUGUUCCUGUCUGGUUACCAUGCUAGCACGUCACUCUGAGGCCAGCAGCAUGGGGUGCUUGCCAUUGACCUCUUCUCAGACAGCAGAGGAGCUGGAAUACACGUGGACUACCCAGGUGACCCUAAGGCCAUUUUCUGCCUGUACUGUCAUCAUCCACAGGUGGCGGAGACCUGUUGGCCCACCUCAGCCUAUGAGUGCCAGCUCUGUGACAGUGCAUGAGUAGAUCUGCAACGGUUCUUCAGUCACUGAGAGAAAUCUUCCCUCCAGUUUGCCUGAUAGAGAAGGCUGUGUUUUGGUGACCAUCCAUGUGAGGUGCUCUCUACUCAAAUGCUUGCUGAAGACCGUGCCUAGUACCAAUUAUCCAAGAUAAAGGCCACCACCAGGGGCUCUAGCUGAUUCCCAGCGCGAUGUCCGUGUUUGCAGGUUUAUCUGCAUGAGGCAGGUGACUCUCACUCUUCACCAGCUGCCUGCCAGAGCAGGCACAGCCUUGUUGUGGAGACCACACCAACAUAUUCAUCGUCGCUCCAUCCAAUAUCACAGCACCAUAGGUACUAUCUAGAAAGUUCCUGCCAACUGCAGCUGAACCACCACUUCUGUUGGCCAGGCUCAUGUGGUCAGAGGAAGAUACCAGAGUGCAGACCUGAACUCCCAUUUCAAAUCAGAUGAGACCAUUCCUCUGCAAAAUUGUCACUGCUGUUCCUCAGCACCAAUUUGAGUACACCUUACUCCAGAUGAAAGACUGGCAUGCCCAAAGAAGAAAUGCAGAGAGCCUGUUUUCAUUGUCUUAUUUUGUAUUCCUCUGUGUUUCUCCCCUCAUUCUUCAGUUGCCAUUAAAUUCUUCAUUUUUCCCAUCC